CCGUUAAAAUAAGAUGCUGUCUCACAGCAGGCAAUGUUUAGGUAGUGUUUGUGUGUGUGUGUGUGUGUGUGUAUGUGUGUAUUUCUAGUGAGAUGUGAUAUGCUUUGUCUGCAAAUAGUUAAGGAAUCGAAGGAGUGUAAGGCCUACUGGUCAUGUUUACAGACUGAAGGACAGAUGGAAGGAUGAGAAGCGUGUGUGUGUGUGUGUGUGUGUGUGUGUGUGUGAUGAGAGGAGAAAUGAAAAGAUACAACAGCAUGAAUGAAGACGCAUCUGCAAGACAGAUGGCCAGCCAGCAGCACCAGAGGAGCACUGCAGCAAAUUCCCCCUCGCCACGGAGUGUGUGUGCAUGGGAGAGAGAGAGAGCUGGGAAAGGGAGGGAGAGAAUGAAUGAGAUAUUGAUGAGAGAGAUGGAGAGGAAAGGAGACGACGGGACGGCGAGGGGGGGCGCUUCUUUUAAGGCACGUGUUCAGGGAUGG
Clupea harengus (Atlantic herring) is the source of this 476-nucleotide long non-coding RNA. The record is from Ensembl. Lineage: Eukaryota; Metazoa; Chordata; Actinopteri; Clupeiformes; Clupeidae.